This 595-nucleotide ribosomal RNA is filed under the name uncultured Bacteroidota bacterium. Its description in RNAcentral is "bacterial SSU rRNA". It matches the Rfam family "Bacterial small subunit ribosomal RNA", at positions 122 to 715 of the family's 1533-position model. The record is from RNAcentral. Lineage: Bacteria; Pseudomonadati; Bacteroidota.
CAACCUGCCCAUCACUCGGGGAUAACCUUGCGAAAGUAAGACUAAUACCCAAUGAUAUCUCUAGAAGGCAUCUGAAGGAGAUUAAAGAUUCAUCGGUGAUGGAUGGGGAUGCGUCUGAUUAGCUUGUUGGCGGGGUAACGGCCCACCAAGGCGACGAUCAGUAGGGGUUCUGAGAGGAAGGUCCCCCACAUUGGAACUGAGACACGGUCCAAACUCCUACGGGAGGCAGCAGUGAGGAAUAUUGGUCAAUGGGCGAGAGCCUGAACCAGCCAAGUAGCGUGCAGGAUGACGGCCCUAUGGGUUGUAAACUGCUUUUAUAAGGGAAUAAAGUGAGUCUCGUGAGACUUUUUGCAUGUACCUUAUGAAUAAGGACCGGCUAAUUCCGUGCCAGCAGCCGCGGUAAUACGGAAGGUCCGGGCGUUAUCCGGAUUUAUUGGGUUUAAAGGGAGCGUAGGCCGGAGAUUAAGCGUGUUGUGAAAUGUAGACGCUCAACGUCUGCACUGCAGCGCGAACUGGUUUCCUUGAGUACGCACAAAGUGGGCGGAAUUCGUGGUGUAGCGGUGAAAUGCUUAGAUAUCACGAAGAACUCCGAUUG